CAGCACCUCAAGUGGUCAGGAUGAUUAUUGGGCCUAAAGCAUCCGUAGCCGGCGCUGUAAGUUUUCGGUUAAAUCUGUACGCUCAACGUACAGGCUGCCGGGAAUACUGCAGCGCUAGGGAGUGGGAGAGGUAGACGGUACUCGGUAGGAAGGGGUAAAAUCCUUUGAUCUAAUGAUGACCACCUGUGGCGAAGGCGGUCUACCAGAACACGUCCGACGGUGAGGGAUGAAAGCUGGGGGAGCAAACCGGAUUAGAUACCCGAGUAGUCC
RNAcentral lists this ribosomal RNA (270 nucleotides) under uncultured archaeon. RNAcentral's name for it is "partial 16S ribosomal RNA". It matches the Rfam family "Archaeal small subunit ribosomal RNA", at positions 477 to 747 of the family's 1478-position model. The record is from RNAcentral.